Molecule: ribosomal RNA, 446 nt
Filed under: uncultured bacterium
Lineage: Bacteria
Description: partial 16S ribosomal RNA
Rfam family: Bacterial small subunit ribosomal RNA
Source: RNAcentral
CCUACGGGUGGCAGCAGUCGAGAAUCAUUCACAAUGGGGGAAACCCUGAUGGUGCGACGCCGCGUGGGGGAAUGAAGGUCUUCGGAUUGUAAACCCCUGUCAUGUGGGAGCAAAUUAAAAAGAUAGUACCACAAGAGGAAGAGACGGCUAACUCUGUGCCAGCAGCAGCGGUAAUACAGAGGUCUCAAGCGUUGUUCGGAAUCACUGGGCGUAAAGCGUGCGUAGGCUGUUUCGUAAGUCGUGUGUGAAAGGUGCGGGCUCAACCCGCGGACGGCACAUGAUACUGCGAGACUAGAGUAAUGGAUGGGGAACCGGAAUUCUCGGUGUAGCAGUGAAAUGCGUAGAUAUCGAGAGGAACACUCGUGGCGAAGGCGGGUUCCUGGACAUUAACUGACGCUGAGGCACGAAGGCCAGGGGAGCGAAAGGGAUUAGAUACCCGAGUAGUC